AAGGGUAUUCCUCAGUGGUAGAGUGCAUGCUUAGCACGCAUAAGGUCCUAGGUUCAAUCCCCAGUACCUCCA
RNAcentral lists this transfer RNA (72 nucleotides) under Camelus bactrianus (Bactrian camel). It matches the Rfam family "tRNA". From Rfam's summary of the family: Transfer RNA (tRNA) molecules are approximately 80 nucleotides in length. Their secondary structure includes four short double-helical elements and three loops (D, anti-codon, and T loops). Further hydrogen bonds mediate the characteristic L-shaped molecular structure. tRNAs have two regions of fundamental functional importance: the anti-codon, which is responsible for specific mRNA codon recognition, and the 3' end, to which the tRNAs corresponding amino acid is attached (by aminoacyl-tRNA synthetases). tRNAs cope with the degeneracy of the genetic code in two manners: having more than one tRNA (with a specific anti-codon) for a particular amino acid; and 'wobble' base-pairing, i.e. permitting non-standard base-pairing at the 3rd anti-codon position. The record is from Rfam by way of RNAcentral. Lineage: Eukaryota; Metazoa; Chordata; Mammalia; Artiodactyla; Camelidae. RNAcentral also lists the same sequence under 2 other names.